UCCUAGUGGCUUAGAUGGUAAAGCGUCUGUCUGCAAUGCAGGAGACCCGGGUUUGAUCCCUGGGUUGGGAA
RNAcentral lists this transfer RNA (71 nucleotides) under Ovis aries (sheep). It matches the Rfam family "tRNA". From Rfam's summary of the family: Transfer RNA (tRNA) molecules are approximately 80 nucleotides in length. Their secondary structure includes four short double-helical elements and three loops (D, anti-codon, and T loops). The record is from Rfam by way of RNAcentral. Lineage: Eukaryota; Metazoa; Chordata; Mammalia; Artiodactyla; Bovidae.